UACGUAGGGUGCGAGCGUUAAUCGGAAUUACUGGGCGUAAAGCGUGCGCAGGCGGUUUUGUAAGCCAGAUGUGAAAUCCCCGGGCUUAACCUGGGAAUGGCAUUUGGGACUGCAAGGCUGGAGUACGGCAGAGGAGACUGGAAUUCCUGGUGUAGCAGUGAAAUGCGUAGAGAUCAGGAGGAAUACCGAUGGCGAAGGCAGCUCUCUGGGACGGUACUGACGCUGAGACGCGAAAGCGUGGGGAGCGAACAGG
This 253-nucleotide ribosomal RNA is filed under the name uncultured bacterium. Its description in RNAcentral is "partial 16S ribosomal RNA". It matches the Rfam family "Bacterial small subunit ribosomal RNA", at positions 524 to 776 of the family's 1533-position model. The record is from RNAcentral.